AAGCAUUGCUUUCGUUAUGUUUUGAAUUCCUUUGUUUCUAAACAAUAUAAUACCUCGUCUUAUGUUGAUUUAUAUAGGUUUUGAAUGUAAACAGUUCAUGUUCAUUCAAAGCUCACGGACAUUGUUUACAUUUGCUGCUCGUUUCUGAUUGUCUCCAACAAUUUUCAAUAUAUUGAGGUUGCUGGUGUGAGCUGACCAGUGCUUAGAAUGAAUGCUGAUUUCUGCAAAAGUCUUAUACUAUUCGAACCCUACAUACCGGGAAAUUGUGAUUUAGAAUGAAUAGUUUCCGUCUACUAAAUAUACAAUUACGGACCAUCGAUUGUCCUCAAGCACGUAAAUAAACAUUUAUUGGUACAAUAAAUUGUUUUGUAUUCACAUUUUGUAAGUUGUACCGUAGAUAAUGAUAUUUUUGUAAUUUUUACCAUUUCCCCUGUAAUGUCUCUUAAAAUUGACCGCUAUACGAUGUCACUGACCAAUCAAACAUUGAUUACUUAUGACGUAUUCGAUUCAUUCUGGCCAAUUUUUCCUUUGUUUUCAAGCAUGGACAUUUCCAACAAUCACCACUUCCCCCUUUUUACUAUGCUUCACUACGUCAUUAUAAGAUUAAUUGUAUAUGGGCCCUUUUGUGACCACCUUUUUGCUAUAGUUGUAUUCAGCAUCUGUACAUGUUUUAUUGGACGGGUUUCUUGUGUCAUGUGACUAGUUAGCCUGUUUUAAACACUAUCUAGUCAUUUUGUAGUUCUUAUUCAACUCUCUGAUGUAAGCCCAGCCAAUUCAUUGUCAUGUAUGAUUAUGUAAUAUGCAAUUUUAGUUGGCAGUUAUUUGUUAUUUCAAUAAAUGCACGGGCAUUUUGUUCGAUAAUAACCUUAAAUUUAUCACUGAAAAUUACUUUUUUCCAAUAUCCAUUAACAGUUCCAUGGCUGUGCACCUGACCAUAAUAUAUUUCUUGUUCACUUCAGAAAUUUUUACUAUCAUCUUCACUGCCUUUUUCCAGCAUCCAUUUUGAUAUAAUUUCUUCUCAAUUUUCCAUUUUGAGAAUUUGCGAUGCAUCCUGACAUCAAAUAUGUUUGUACAGUUAACCGACGACUUCAAUCUGUGUCGUCGUGCUGUCUUAGAAUGCAAUCCUUGUAUAUAAGUAUCCUUGUGUAAUGGAAACUGAACUCUUUUUUCUCAUCCGGAUCAUCGUAACUUCUUAUUUUUUUCCUUUUUGUAUAUGUUUUAGAAAACUGUACACGGUACUUUGAUUCAGGCCUGAUAAUCCGACAAUGUUUACUCUUUUUAAAUUUACAUCCUAAAUUGUAAAUAUGUAUAAUAUCUGUUUUAAUGUGAACUUUUUCCCUUCCAACCUAUCUCUGUUUACAUUUUUUUUUCAACAUUUAGAGAUGACAAGGAUGUGGCGUGAUUUAUGACGUAGAAACAUCACUAAAUAAGUUAAGAUAAUUCCAGAAAAUCCUAUUUCUGGAGCAUACUUUAAGAAUUUCAUUGUAUUUUUGGAUAUUGUGUUUGGUUGUAUUUGACGACCAUUUUCAUUUUUUACGAAUAGUUCUGGUGGACGAUUGCACAUCUGUUUAAAUAUAUUACAUGCAUAAUUCGAUCUUAUUAUAUGGUGCAUUACCUAUACAUAUGCACAUAAAAGAGGAAAAAAAUUGACAGUAUGCAUACUUGAGGAUAUAUUUCUUAUGCAAUCUCAAACAUAUUGUUGGUUACACACAAAUAAUGUAAACAGGGAUGUGUACUAUAGCUUUCAAAUUUGUUGUUCCGUCGGUAGGUUUAUUUUAAUUCAUCAAAUUUAUUAGAAACAUGCAAUUUGUUUAUUGAUAGGCACACUGGUUUUGGGCUGCGGAUGACUCCUUUUGCCUGAUCUAGAUAUGGCACUCCCGGCAGGUGUGACCGAUCGACAGGAAAUGCUUCCUUUUCCUGGGCAUCUGACCCCACUUCUGAACAGUGAUUAUAAUAAUUAUAAUAAAAGUACACUUAUAUAGCGCCUUAUCUAAAAAUACCCUACAGCGCUGUACAACAUACUAAAAGAACAUGACCCACGAACCAUGAAAAAUGGCCUAGCCUGGGAUAUUGAUAUUUUCUGUAUAUAAUAAUCUUCAGGAUAUAGGCUUUCGAGAAAUGUUUUUCUUUUUUUCAUAUAUUCUAUACUUUUUUGUUAAUAUGACGUUGAAUAUUGUGGUAUUUAAUGUUAAAAAAUUAACAUUUCGGGAUACACGUCACAACAAUAAACCUCCAAUGACCAUGUACAAUGUACAUGAACCUAUAAAUCUCUGAAUAUAUCAAGUUAUAUGCACUCAAAUAGCUAGAAUGGCUUAUUCAAUGAUCAUAAUAAGCAUUUUUGACCAAAUUUGGCAAAUAGAAAUGAGAAAUAUUUUGGAAAUGAUGUUCAAAGCCGUGAUUGUUCAACUUUACUUUUAAAUUAUUUUUACUUGAAUUUUAAAAUACUGAAAUAAGAAGAAUAAAUAUAGUAUGUAGUCUAUUUACAUGGUGAAAGAAGUGAAUCAUUGGAACAAUUCUGUUUCAUAUGAUAUUCCAUAGUUUUUUUGUUUUGUUUUUUUUAGUUUUUUUUUUGUAUUAAAACGACCGAGUAUCGAUAGAAAAUGUAACGAAAUAAGUUGACACCGCGUCUCGUAAAAAAUGUUCAAUUCGAAUUUACUCGGAAUUACACGUUCAACGAGCAUUUCCUGUGAAACCUGAUUAAAGGAAACUUACUGUAGACACCUAAUAGUAAGUAUCAAAUGAUCUUUUUUGUUACAUGUACAUGUAGAUUUCAUAGCGUGAAUAAUAACACAACACCGAUAUAGGGGAUCAGAGUCAGUAUAUUAUUGACUCUGAAACACAGGCACUUGUUUCUGUAAAUGACUUAUGACCUCUGUAUACUAAUAACAACACGUGUUGUUAUUAGUAUACAGAGGUCAUAAGUCAUUUACAGAAACAAGUGCCUGUGCUCUGAAAAUACGAUUUGAGAAAUGAUACUGUAUGAAUUUUACUGUAUUUAUCUUUAUCAAUAAUUGUAUAUUCCUAUACGUAUUAAUCAUGUAAAGAUACUGAAGUCUUUUAACCAACAAUUUUAAAUGUGUGUGCAAUACAUUAUUGACUGACAGAACGUAAUUCAUGAGCUGUGAUCUAAAAAAAUUUCAGGCAUUAAUAUAGAUUUGAAUAGAAUUACAUCUAGAUACAUAUUUGAAAUAGAAUAUAUCCUAAGGCACUAUAGUUUUAAAUUGUUUGGAUUAUAUUGCAUUUACAUGUAAUGUAUACAUGCUUGUAAAUGCCACAGAAUGAGAAAUAAUCUAAAUUGGCCUAUUUUCAUAAUGUUCCCAAAAUAGAAGUAUCAUGUAGAUCUAUACAGGAAAUAACAUUUACAAAUCAUGUUUGUUGUUUGUUAUUUGCCAGUUAAGUAUCAUAAUGAUAAUACUAGUAGUUUAUAAUAAGUAAUUAUUCUGCUAAAAUAAUAUACCCUUUUUAUUGUCAACAAAUACAUCACUGGUAAAAAGGUUAUAAAGCUUUUAUCUAGCACAAGUUUCCAUAUUCUACAGGUUUACAUAUGUCAGCAAGUCCUCAAAAGCAGCUUUAGGGGUUCCCAGGAGAUUCUGAUGCUCACUGUUAGACUUUCACUGUUGUCUAAAUCCAACCUUAUUUUCUCUUUUCUCAAAACUUCAGCUCUCAAAAACUUGAUUGAUUAAUUAUGUCACUCCUGUUUUGUUGAACAUGGUGUUGUCAGCAAUAGGUUCAAGUUCUUCUAUGUCUUGUUGUAGGUGAUUUGUACAAAACCGGCAGGAAUGAUGGCCUUUUUUAAAAUGAAGAUUUCAUGCCUUACUCCUACUGGGACUACAACUAACUUUGGACCUGGUCACUCGCAGAUACAUGGGAAUGGGAGUGAUACAGAAGGGGGACUAAUUGGAAGAACUGCUGCUGCUGGUGGUGAUGCUGGACUGUCUUGAAUCUGUGGCCUAACCGAGUUGAUAUUCUUCUGUUUAAUAUGGGAGCAACACACUGGCAUCUAUUGCACAGAAAAUCAUGAUCAGAUGGUGCCCUCCCUAUCAGAGUGGUGAUCACUGUCCUAUAUUUCUUUGAAAUCCCGGAUCUGUGUUUUGGUUUCUCCAUGGAUAAUUGAAACAGAGAAAGAAUUUGGGACCACUCCUUGGCAUAUCUGAAAUAUUUAUGUCAUAUACAGUUUACAAAAUUGAGUCGUGAGUAAUGCGGCCCAUGUGAAUUUAUAGACUGAAGUUGGCAAAUUUAUGCGAUUUUCCCGGAAAACGUGAAACUGAGGUAGGUUUGGGCAUUUACUUGAGUGCUUUAAACAUCCGGUGUGAGGAAACGAUUGCGCAAUACAACUUGGUUCAUGUUAUGGAUAAAAAAUAUAAUCUUAGAUUUAUUCUAAAGUGUUCUUUAAUUUUUCCAAAUUUGGUAGGCCAAAAAUGGCAUAUUGUGGGUCAUGUUCUUUACAAUUGAUAAUUAAAAGAAAAAAACCAUAGAAUACACAACGAAUAAUCCUUACAUAUAUAAGCAUGAAUGCAACAUUAUGUAAUAAUGGAUAAAAAGUACAAAUCAAGACAAUUUAAAGUAUAAAAUAUGAUGCAAGUAUACAACGUUUCUUUUCCCUUUUUACUAUGCUUCACUACGUCAUUAUAAGAUUAAUUGUAUAUGGGCCCUUUUGUGACCACCUUUUUGCUAUAGUUGUAUUCAGCAUUUGUACAUGUUUUAUUGGAUGGGCUUCUUGUGUCAUGUGACUAGUUAGCCUGUUUUAAACAGUAUCUAGUCAUUUUGUAGUUAUUAUUCAACUCUCUGAUGUAAGCCCAGCCAAUUCAUUGUUAUGUAUGAUUAUGUAAUAUGCAAUUUUAGUUGGCAGUUAUUUGUUAUUUCAAUAAGAUUGAUAUGAUAUGAUUAAUCUCAUAAUUCCUGUAAAAAGUACAAAAUUAGGAGUAUGGCGAUUACAGACACCAGGAUGUACCAGAGGUAGUAUACAAUGCCUAAGAAAAGCCUUUCCUGUCGACCUGCCACAACCGCGGCGAUCCCUACAUCUUCUUCAAGGUGUCUCGGAUCCCUGCGAAACGGAGAAGGAUCUUCAUGAAUAUCUGGGGAUGGUUACAGAAGAGAAUUAGCUAAAGAUUUUUUUUUAUCCUGAUACGCCUUGAACUUUAAAGAAUAUUAUCAUUUUAAUUUGCUAUAUGCAUAUCAAUGGCCACCGGCUUCAUUGUUUAUAAAAUAUUAAAAAAAACAAACCCACAAAAGACAUACAGGACAUUACUAUUCAACUACUAGAAUAUCAUGUGACUGCUCUUACAGAUGUAGAUGGGGUUUAAGUGACAAGCUUUAUGUAAGAAAACGUCAUUUUUCAGGACGUAUUUGCCCCCUGGGGCCAAUAUGAAAAUUCUGAAACCUUAUUGCACAUCUACAGGAUAUUACUAUUCAGCUCCUUGAAUAUCAUGUGACUAUUCCUAAAGAUGUAGAUGGAGUUUAAAUGACAAGCUUUGUGAUAGAAAACGUCAUUUUUCGGCCCCUAUUUACAGCCUGGGGCCAAUAUGAAAAUUUCAACAUGUUAUUACACAUCUACAGGACAUUACUAUUCAGCUCCUUGAAUAUUAUGUGACUAUUCCUAAAGAUGUAGAUGGAGUUUAAGUGACAAAUUAGUUUUAUGUUAGAAAACGUCAUUUUCGGCCCCUGGGCAAAUAUGAAAAUUCCAAAACCUUAUUGCACAUCUACAAGACAUUACUAUUCAGCUCCUAGAAUAUCAUGUGACUGUUCCUACAGAUGUAGAUUGAGUUUAAGUGACAAGCUUUAUGUUAGAACACGUUAUUUUUUAGGCCUAUUUGCCCCCUGGGGCCAAUAUGAAAAUUCUGAAACUUUAUUGCACAUCUACAGGAAUUUGCUAUUAAGCACCUAGAAUAUCAUUUGGAUUGCGCUGUGAAUAUGGACACAAUUUUAGUGACAACAACGGGGACGGACGGACGGACGGACCAGGAUAAACACAAUAUACCCGAACUUUCUUUAGAGAGUGCGGGUAUAAUAAUGAUAAUAAUAUGAAUGAUAUCAAUGUUGUUUAUUUGUGUUUGAAUGCAUGAUGGUGAUCAUUGUACAUUGAUAAAGUGGCUUUUUAUAGGAUCCGAAACAGUGACAUGUGAGAGAGUUGGUUGGCGGGGAUUUGUACUUUCACUUUUGAGGAUGCAGUAAACGGACGACAGGAGGGGAAGCUGCGCAUUUCCUCGUUGGAUGAUUUGUGUACAUGUGUGGACGUGGAUGUCAUUUCAGUGAGUUCACUUGGAUUUAAGAGGCUGAGCAAAGGCACAAAGAAAAUGUUUCCUGAGUAUAGAGUCUGAACAGAGGAUAUUGCAUCAUUCCUGAUGAGGCAAGUCAAGUUUGUUCAUUUAUCUGAUUUAUGAUUUCUUGUCUCACUGGUUUUUUUUUCCAAUUAUUUUUUAUUCAUUUAUUGGUUUACAAUAUUGCAGAAGGUGAAAUGUACAUGUUUAACUUUGGCUGUGUAUGUGUAUUUGUUUUAAUUUUUUUUUUGGGGGGGGAGUUAUCAGUUUAGGUAGAGUGUCAAUUUUGUGUAUUGCUUAAAGAUCAGUACCACUGUCCUAAUGUUGAACAUUGGGCAGAUAUGUAAAUUGGCACUUGGUUGGUUCAUGCAGUCCUCCCUGACAUUGACAGAGCUUUCCCAUGUAGACUGUUUCUUAUGAGUUGUGCGUAGAGUAUCGGUCAUCUGUCUGUGUCUCGCAAGCACUUGGUGCAGACAGCUAUCAUGCUGAAUCCCGUGAAGGAAGGGGAUAUAGACUUCCUUUGGAAUGACGUACAUACUCAAUGUUGGGUCACUUGUGAGAGACCCACAUCUUGAAUUUUGACCUUGACCCUAUUUUUAAGGUUAAUCACCUAAUACCUUGUGGAGGAGAAAGUGAUCUAAACCUUUGACCUUUUCCCACUUUCAAGGUCAUUCAAGGUCAACAAUCCUAGAAUAUCAUGUGACUAC
Long non-coding RNA from Ostrea edulis (European flat oyster), 6964 nucleotides. RefSeq lists it as uncharacterized. Lineage: Eukaryota; Metazoa; Mollusca; Bivalvia; Ostreida; Ostreidae. The record is from RefSeq and is a predicted model, not a curated record. The transcript is spliced from 3 exons.